UUUCCAUUAAUUAACAUUAUGACACUUUUCCUUUUACUUUCCAUUUCUUCCAAAACCUUGAUUGCUACCAUUUGAGGUGUGAUGAGAAGAGACGAGAAACAAGAAAGUAACACCAUAACCUUCACCGUGGCAGUUUGCGUUCGCUGUUCACCGUCGCUGCGUCGCAGUUCGCGUUCGCUGUUCACCGGUGCGGUUCGCCCUCGCCUUUCACUGUUCGUCGUCCCCCGCAUCGUCUUUUAUCUUCCCCUCUUUUAUGUGUGCGAACCCUACUUUCCCAUUUGGCGACUUUUUCCUUCUCUUCCAACUCCACUGAACACUGAUAGUGAUGUCGAUAGCUGAAGCCGGAAUUGAGCGAGCUAAGUAUGCAGUUGACGGGUUUCUAAGCACAGUUGGUAGGUUGCAAGCUGAACAACAUAAACAGGUACUUCUCAUCGGAUCCCUUCAGAAUACUAAUGAUGGGAUGGAAGGCACUAAUGAAAUUAUAGUCUUUAAGUUCCUGACAAAACCGAAUUCAGUAAAACAAGACUUGCUAAUGUUGUGAAGAGCCCGAAAAAAUUAGGUUCCAAGGAUCCAAGGUAUGUUCUUAUACUAUCUUGUAUUAUCUUGUGAUUUAUUGAUUUCAAGAAACAAAUUCAUCAACAAUCUUCAAUCUCUUGAUUCAAAAUUUGAGCCAUGCAUUAUUUUUGAUAAAUAGCCUUCCGUUGAACUCAUGGUGUUGAAGCAUUAAUCUUAAUUAGCUGGUACCAAUAGCUAUUUAGACUUCAAUAAUAUGUUUAAAAUAGACAUAAAUUUAAUUCCUCAAUACAUAUAUGAUUUUAACCCUUACUUUAAAGAAUUCUUUUUUGCAGAAAAUUUAAGUCCUAUAACUUGGUCCAUGCAAAAUUCAAUAGAAUGAACAAUUUAGCCACUAAGAGAAUUUAACUGUUUCUUUUGUUUUUCAUUCUUUGUUUAAAAGAACUAUUAAUGAAAAAAAUAAUUAAUUCUAUUGGCUAAUUUUUAAAUAAAUAUUUAUUUUAGAAUCAAAUCCAAAUAUAUUUAGAAUAGAAAAAGUAUUCCUAAAGGUGUUGUCUGUGUCAUGAUUGAUGAGUGUAAAGUCCACUGAAUUAUGCAAAUUAAAGUCUUGAAUGAAGGUGCCUGAAUUUGAAGUCUACAGCAAGAGACACUUGUUACUAAUCUAUGGUCAAGUGAAGUCAACACCCAACAGUUGCACACCUCAUUAUCGAUUCCCACUUUAUUUGUUUGCUUAACAUGAUCGAGACAUGAUUUCUAAAUAUGUUUCAUUUGAUAUAGUCUUGCUAGAUAAAUUGUUUCGAUUGUAGAUAUCCCCCCUCCUCUUCCUUUCCCAACUUAGCUCUAACAGUUAUUUCUUCACUUUUCACUGGAGAAGACUACUCUUGUGUAUAGUUAAGUUCUUCUUUUGCAACCUCACAGUUUUUCAAAUUAAUUAUAAUAAAAUGAACUGGCAAGUGAGCCGAAACAAUGCACAUCAGGCAGAACAAGUUGAAAGGUAGCUCAGACUUUAUUUCAAUUAUUGUUCUAAUUAAUAAUGAUGAUAGAUAUCUAUCACUGCUUCUGUAAGAUAUAUAUCAAGAUUGCAGCAGUGAAUUAUUAUUGUAAGGUUCUUGCAGCAUGCUUUUCUUUUCAUGUUCUUCUUAACUAAUGGAUUUCUAGCAUGGUUUAAUUUCAUCUUCAUUAGCUUUUGCCCUCAAUUUUCAAGCAAUUGAGAAAGUACAGCAUAACUAUGCUGAAAUCACCCAAACUGAAAGAGAGACAUGUAAUCAAGUAUAUGCUUGAAAUGUGUCUUGUUUUCUGCUAUGUAUCUGUGUAUGUUAAUUGAUGCUUAAGAUAGAUAUAUAAAAAUGUGGAAUGGUAGUAGUAGUAGUAGCUUUGUCUCCGGGCCCCAAGGAAUGUUUAGCUUAUUUCACGUGGACAAGAAAGCUACUGAAGCCAUCAUCAGUAUCCUAACAUAUAUACAUUCAUCAGAUGUGAAAUUCUUUCUUUUCCUAAUCUUUCUUUUUCUAAUCUUUCUUUUCUACCACUAGCUAUAUAGCUAAUAGCUUCUAUAUAGCUGCUGAGUGCUGACUCUCUCUCUCUUUCUCACCCUCUCUUCUUCCAAGUCCUUUCACCUUUAUUUGCUUGUUCACCUUUAAGAAAUAACUGUUUUCUUUUUUUACUUAUUUGUUUGAUAAGAACAUCCAUGGAUCAAAGAAGUGAGAAGCAAUGUAGGUUGGCCAAUUAAUAUAUUCACAAGGAUUGAAAGGGAAGGUUAUAAAUCAAUACAGAAACCUUUUUGUGGAGGCCCGUGGCAAGGGUUCUGCCAUAAAGGAUCUUAAUAGUCAGAGGAACUUGUUCUGAGAUAUUUUAGAAUUUUUUCAUAGGUAUUUUUCAGAGAGGAAGAACCACUGAAGUUGAAGCAAAAUUUGAGAAGCUCUUGAGAAGAGUAAAUGUGAAAUCUGAAAAGGUUGACAUGUCAAAGAGGUAUUAUUAUUUGGUCUUCAUUGAUUAUUACUAUUUAGUGGAGUGGAAGCUGGAGACUAAGUCAAACUUUAAAUCUAUUCAAUUUAACCAAAAAAAUUGUAACGUUAAAUUGUUCUAAGGACUUGCUACAAAAUUGUAUUCAAAGGGGUUGAUUAAAAAUGAUCAAAGUAUUGCUCGGAAAGAUAGUAAGAAAGCAACUCUAGUUCUCUGUCAAAAGUUGAAGAGCUACUGGAUCUAUGUUCAAGGUAUGGGUUUUGGUGUUCUGAGUGUAUUUUUAUCAACGAGGUCCGAACACGGGUUGGCAAGGAUGCAGCGUCACUCCGUUGCCACUGUGCAAUCUUGAUUCUGAGUAAUAUAUGUGAUAAAAAUUAAAUAUAUAAUAAACCAUUAAUGAAUUUUUAUUUUCUUUUUUAUCCUUUUAAUCAUGAAUUGAAAUGAAUACCAAACAUAACAAGUAAAAACACAUAAUAUAUAAACAUAUUGAUAUUGAUUGUGUUA
Arachis duranensis is the source of this 2976-nucleotide long non-coding RNA. RefSeq lists it as uncharacterized. Lineage: Eukaryota; Viridiplantae; Streptophyta; Magnoliopsida; Fabales; Fabaceae. The record is from RefSeq and is a predicted model, not a curated record. The transcript has 4 exons.